UGCAGUGGAGCCUUCACACCAAAAUCCGCCAUUGGAGAUGAGUACUCCAGUUGAAGAAGUUUCUGCUCAUCUAAAAAAAUUCAAUUACGAGGAUUGGAUUUCAAAGCUGGAUGCACUGUCAAUAUGGAUGUACAAUUUCGGCGACCAGCAUUUCCCGUCAACUGUAGAACAGAAAAUCUCUGACAUCGAGCAUCAAAUUUGUUUGUGCAUUGAAGUCCUCGAAUCAGUUCCUGCAGAGAAGAGAGAAUUAAAUCGUGAAUGUGCAAUGUUUGAGUAUCUGAAAGGAAGAUUUUAUAAUGCAAUUCCUGAUGUUUAUAAGGAGGAAGCAGAGCGUCAUCUACUGAAAGCUGUGAGUGAAAGAAGAAUUGCAUAUUUAAUGUGUUGUUGAUUGUUGAAUUUGCGUUUGGUUGGCUUCUCACUCUUAAUUAUAUCUACCAGACUCAAUUAGAUCCGCUUCUGAUGGAUGCUUGGAAUUGCCUCGGCUCUUGCGUUGCCAAAAAAGGGAAUUACCAAGAAGCUAAAGAAUACUAUCAGACUGCCCUUAAAAUGGGUGAAGAAAAUGCGGUAAUAUUACGUCAACUUGCAGACCUUGAACUGACGUUUGCACAAGUUGCUGAAAAUCCAGCCAAGCAGAUUGAUGAAUGCAUCAAAUAUGCCGAAAGGACACACGCUCUGGAUGACAUGGAUGGAGGUUGUUUAUAUAUCUUAGGAUGUGCACAUUUCACUUCCUUUCUUCUGAGGGGAGGAUGGGAUCACAAUAAUCUUCAACUGGCAUUAGAGGCAUACGAAAAAGCUGUUUUUUACUCUAUUUCAGAAGAGAAUUGAUACAAUGAAGUCAAACCCACAUCUUGAAUACGACUGUAGCAUGAUAUCAUGAUAUCUUAAAUAUAGACUUCAGUUUCCCCCUUGAUGUCUCUAACUGGAUUUUCAAACGCUGCAUUAAAGAAUCCUGCUAGUGAUGCUUUACAUCAAGUGAAAGUGACGCUCCAGCUUCUCGACAAACUAAAAGGAUUACUUCAGGUUAGGUGAUAUGACAAGAAUAAGGGGAAGAGUAAGCGAAAGAGCAAGGGAAAGAGUAAAGGAAAGAGCAUGAAAACAGGCUUGCCUGCCAUGAUCCAAUCACUUUCUAAUAUUGAUCUGAAUCCUUCAUACAAGAGAGUAACCGUGGAUCUCUUAACUGAAGGCUUUAACAAACAGAUUGAGGUUGUAGCAGCAGUACGAUGCUUAGUUAAAUAUGAGUAUAAAGCUCCAGUGUAAGUUACAUCAUCUUGGAGGAACCCACAUGAGUUGAUCAUUUUCAGCAUUUCCUUUAAAAGUGAAAGUCACUUGUCUGUGCAGCCCUAGUGUAUGCUAAAUACUUAUCUAUCAACGUAUACUCUUAAUCUACAGAUACUAUAUGCUCUGUGACUCUGAUUAGAAUAGUUUUGUACUCACAGCGUUCGGCAUACAGAAGGAAGCAGUAAGCACUACUUUAUGCGGUUUAAUUAUUUCUUGGUACAUUUAUCCAUUAAGACCUUACUUCCUAGAAAAAAGUGGUCUAGUGGAUACCGAUAUGAGAAAAUUAAUAAAUAAAUUUCAGAUAUUGACACGUUAGUUUGCUGCUAAACUGCUGCAGCACUACAUGCCAAAAAAUAAGUGAAGGAUCUUUCCUCCCUUUAUUCAGUUCUUAUGUUUCUUGAUACAUUUAUCCAUUAAGAUCUUAGUUCUAAGAAAAAAGUGUUCUACUUCUUUAAUACAUAGUCAAACACUAAAGAUGAAAAGAGAGAAUAGUAAAGUGAGUUAGCACUUCAAAAAAUUUCUGUAAAUUGGAAUAAUUUGUUUCUAUGUCAUUCUAUCAAACACCAUUCUUAUCUUGAUUUCCCCAUUUGUCCAUACUUGAAGAGGAAAAGAUUUCCUUUGCCGCUUAAGUAAUCCAUUAGUGAGCCUGAAUAUCUCUUAAUAAUGAUGAUCAUCUCAUUCAAAAUGUUUUAUCUUUGAAUAUUUAUCCUACUCCAGACUUUUGUGGUGACACAUAGCGUAUUCCUACUAAAAUGGAAUAAGAAGAUGAAAUAACAUAAAUGAAGCUUCUUUUAGGAAAUGUAUGCUCUAUGAAAAGUUGAUACUGCAAGGAGAAAAAGAAACAAAAAGGAAAAGAAGUGAAAUGACACAGGAACUAUGAGUCAUGACAAUACUGUUUUACAUCAGAGUAAUUCACUGAUAUUUAGUUUCUAUAAGCAUUUCCAAUCCAAUUCCCCAUUAGAUAUUCACAUCAUUACUUAACAAACUACUGUUGUUUGACAGAUUAAACAAGGAGAUCAGGUCAUACUAUUGGAGCCCAUUUGCAAAUUUAUUGAUUUUGAAUGGGAAGGAAAGGUAAGUAUUUCAAAUGCAAUGCUAUUACAAAGAUGUCAUUUUUCUUGCUAUAUCACAUUUCCCCCUCUAUAAGCACCACAUCUUAGAUGAGUUCUAUUAGCUUAUGGAUCCCUUUAAUUUGUGUAUCGACUCCACCUUAUAACACUUGAGCCUCUUGCAGUGGUAAUUUAAUUUGGUGUCAAUGGUAUGGUAAAAUUGGUAAGUUACCUAAAUAGGAUAGGAGUUAAUCUGGUCCCAGUCUGCCCUUUUCUUGAUUGUAAUUGAUUGGAAGCAGAGCGGUCUUCCCUAAACAGGAACAUGAAGUCAUUUCUUGCAGUUUCUGAAACCAAACAGUUUCCAAAUGAAUAAUUGGAUAACAGGUGGUUUAAGUGCUGGAAGAAUAAUGAUUUGCCUUGCCCAUAUGAUUUAUAAUAAUGGUAUUGUUAUUUUUACCGCAACAUUAUCAAUUCAAGUCUGUGCGAGUUAAUCUUCUGGAACAAGUCCUUUUAAAUGGAAAUCCCCUGCCUCCUAGUUCUGCCAUGAGUGACUCAUUACCAUAGGCAUAAUACUCGUGUCUAUUACAUGCAGUAGCCCAUGUAUUUUUUUUUCAAUCUGACAAUGACGUUUCCUUAUAGAUGAUAUUUCUUUUUUUUUUGACAUUUGACAUCGAUGACUUGUAUGAAGUAAAACUUGUGUUCUCUUUCUAGUUCUUCGGCCAAAUCCUAUCUUUUGAUAUGCAUUAUUUGUUGCCUCAUUAAAAAUCUUGCUAGGAAAAUUUAGUUGGAAAAAACUUCGGUAAAGGAAAAAAGAAUGCAACACAUAUUUUACUCCUUCUGAUUAAAAACCACCACUUAAUUUCUUGUGAUGAUGUCAUGCAAUCUUCUAUACCAACUUCUCAAAUAUUGAUAUUGACAGUGUCUUUAUGAUCAAAUCACAUUCACGAAGAUGUUGUAUCGUUGAACACAUCUUGAUAUAUCAUUUUUUGCUUUCAUGUAUAUAUAUGAUGAGGCUUUGAGCUUAAUUAACCAAAUACAUUCUUGAAAAUCGUUCUAUUGGUGACCUUGUUAAUGCAAGUAAAUUGCUCAUUCAACUUAUUCAUAGUAACAACCAUAUGUGGACACUUUUAUUUGCUUGAUUGUCUUGUAGAAUAACUUUAUAUAUGUACUCGAUGUCAUUUCAACGUCUUCUCGUUGCGGAGGAGUGAAAUUUUGUCA
Non-coding RNA from Solanum lycopersicum (tomato), 3545 nucleotides. Lineage: Eukaryota; Viridiplantae; Streptophyta; Magnoliopsida; Solanales; Solanaceae. The record is from RefSeq and is a predicted model, not a curated record.